RNAcentral lists this ribosomal RNA (465 nucleotides) under uncultured bacterium. Its description in RNAcentral is "partial 16S ribosomal RNA". It matches the Rfam family "Bacterial small subunit ribosomal RNA", at positions 28 to 507 of the family's 1533-position model. The record is from RNAcentral.
GACGAACGCUGGCGGCGUGCUUAACACAUGCAAGUCGAACGGAAAGGCCCUGCUUGCCGGGUACUCGAGUGGCGAACGGGCGAGUAACACGUGGGCGAUCUGCCCUGCACUUCGGGAUAAGCCUGGGAAACUGGGUCUAAUACCGGAUAGGAGCCAUUUUUAGUGUGAUGGUUGGAAAGUUUUUUCGGUGUAGGAUGAGCUCGCGGCCUAUCAGCUUGUUGGUGGGGUAAUGGCCUACCAAGGCGGCGACGGGUAGCCGGCCUGAGAGGGGGGACGGCCACAUUGGGACUGAGAUACGGCCCAGACUCCGACGGGAGGCAGCAGUGGGGAAUAUUGCACAAUGGGCGCAAGCCUGAUGCAGCGACGCCGCGGGGGGGAUGACGGCCUUCGGGUUGUAAACUCCUUUCGCUAGGGACGAAGCUUUGUGUGACGGUACCUAGAGAAGAAGCACCGGCUAACUACGUG